CGCGGAGCCGAUUUGCUCGAGUUCCGGCGGAUCAAUAUCCGCCCCUCGCGCAGACGUGCGCGUCGCCGCAUGAGGCUCAUCAGCUGCGUCCAAAACACCGAGCGCUCGCCGGAUCACACUGGUGUUGAAAAUGUAGUCUCCGCUCUUCCUCUUUUAUUUAGUCACUGAUUUUAUUACAUAUUUUUUCGUUACAAAUGAGCGCGCUGACGUGACGACUUCUGGAGGGAAGAGUCGAAAAUGUGCCAGCGCUUGAGCGAUUGGAAUUAUGGCCAGUCUUCCAGUCCUCGGACACAAACGCAACCACAUUUGCGGCACCGCGAUCAUCCAGGUCGGAUGCCGACUGUGGAACGUAAGUGUGAUAAGUGUCCUCUUCCUGACCAUCUGCAAUAUAAUAAUCACGGUUCGGCUCUUCAACGCCACCUACCGGUGCUCCGUGGAAAACAGCCGCGCAAACACUCUUUCUUCCCAGAAUCUAGAUAUCUUCCUCGACCCACACUCUCCACUUCCACUUCCAGAUCUGAGUUCUUCCAGACGGCGGCAUCGGCGACGGGGUCGGCUCCGGGCUUGGGGUCUGUAGCAGGGGUCUUCCAUGUGAGUCUGGAGCUGGGCCGAUGGGACGAGUCGCGCAAGUACAAGAUGCUGGACGCGGCGCUCGUCGGCGAGAAGUACAUCAACGCCUCGAGCUCCUUCAGCGUGUGCCUCGCCACCCAGAGUUCCGUCGAGAAGCUAGGCUCCCUCCCCAGGUCGCUCAUCACUGGAGCGGGCCCAUGUCCGUCGCACUCUUCGCCGCCGGUGAUGAGGAGUUCGCACUUCUCCAAGGGUACGUAAAAUACCUGCGGCGAUGUUUCGUGCCGAUCUCGGAGCGGGUGGCGUUCCACGUCCUGUUCCCGGGGAGCCGGAUGCCGAGCAACUCUUCGGCGGCGCCCCGGACGGAGGGCUGGACUGCCUGCGGCCGGAGAAGGAGCUGGCGCGGCUGCUCAAGUGGCGCUCGGCGGAGCUCAAGUCCUGGCGGAUGCGCAACCCCUACCCGCAGAACAUCCUCCGGAACCUGGCGCGCAAGAACUGCCACACUGACUACGUCUUCCUCCUGGACGUGGACGUGAUCCCAAGCAGGGACCUGGCCCAGGGCCUCGACGCCUUCCUGAGGCGGAGCCCGCGGUGUCCGAGGUGCGCCUACGUCGUGCCCACCUACGAGAUCGACAACCGCGCCCACUUCCCCAAGAACAAACCCGACCUCGUCCGCCUCGUCCGCAAGGGGCUCGCCCAGCCUUUCCACCAUAAGAUCUUCAUCUAUAACCAGUAUGCCACUAAUUUCUCCAGGUAAGAGUCUAGGAGGCAGCUCGCCGAAGAGGGUUAGAGCCAGUGUUCGAAACUCACAGGCGCCAACGCGCCAAAUGCGCCUCAAAAAAUCGGCCAUGGCGCCUAAAAAUGAGGGCUCCGCGCCAACGUGGCCCUUAAAAAUUGCCCCCUAAAAUCUGGAGUUUCACAGGAGGUCACAUAAAGAAAGAAAAACAAAUCUAUUUGAAUUGAAAAAACUCAGAAUUUUCAGCACUACAAGUGAAAGCUUGCUUUUUCUAUUCUUCACGAUUUCAUUCUCAGUGCUUUUGUCUUCCCCAAGUUACAGCUACUCACUAGUUCUGUUACGAAAACAUCUUGCGUCUAACUUUUCACUAAAUGCGCCGUCAUAUAUAGGCAAAAAGUCAAUUUGGGCCCUAAAAGAUCUUCAAUGGCGCCUAAAAAUCGGGCUUGAUGCGCCAUUUGGCUCCUAAAACUCAAAGGUGAGUUUCGAACACUGGUUAGAGCGAAGGCUAUAUUAGAGGGGCUAGCGGGCCGAUUACUGAAAUUGAUAGACGAGGCGAUAGACAAACAAGACGUAGGGAGUAUGGAGCUAUCUCAUUGGAUGAAAUGGGUGGUUCCUAUAGACUAAGAGAGAAAAUGAUGGACUAACUAUCGGGUCCCUCGUGGGUUGCCGUUACUCCUCGGCAUUGUUAGCCUAUUACCUGCCUCCUUUGUCCAUUGCAACCACCCGCUUCCGCCAAUGGGAUCCCUUCAUAUCUCUUUUGUCUUCUUUGUCUAUAGCUUUGUCUAUUAAUUUCAAUAAUCGGCCCGCUGGAGGAUAAAGCGCAUAAGUGCUGUUUUUGCUAUUUCGAAAAUAGGUGUUUGAAGUUUCGAAUUACAUAAAUCCUUCCAUCGGAAAGAAAGUUCAAACUAAUUUUUUGAACCGGGGGCCUAAAAAUGGUACUAAAAUUCCGAUAGACAGUGAGGUAAAAUGAGGUUUUUUCAACUAGGAAUAUCACAAACUUUACUUGAAUGACAUUGUGAAACAUGUUUACACGCACGUUUAUCUGUUUUUAUCUGUGUGCAUUUGUCCAAUUUAAAUGACAUGAAGGUAUGCUUUUCCUUAUUAAAGCAUCCAAAAUUGACAAAAUCCUCCUCAGUCGCGUUGGGUUUCUUUUCAGUCUUGCCGGGAAGUUAGGUCCAGAGCGGAUUCAUAAGAAUAGAAUUUUACAGAGUUGGAACCCUGCUAUAAACUUCUCGCCGAGUCUGGAGAUUUAAAAAAAAAAAAUCAACGUGACUGAGCGUUUUGUCAAUUUAGGAUGGCUACAUCCGAGGAAAAUACCUCCGUUUCACU
RNAcentral lists this long non-coding RNA (2632 nucleotides) under Bemisia tabaci. RNAcentral describes it as "lncRNA ENSSSA2NGG004137". Lineage: Eukaryota; Metazoa; Arthropoda; Insecta; Hemiptera; Aleyrodidae. The record is from RNAcentral.